AUGUUAGUUCUUUUCCAACCGGUGUGCUUAUUUUCAAGUGGAUCCGAUCAUUUCAACAUUCGCAAGAUCAAUUCUAAGUUUUCUCAAUGGUAUCCAUUCCAUCUGCCCCAAGUUGUCUUUGUUUUCCCGCCCUCCCACCCUUUUUUCUUCAAGGACUCAUAUAUGUUAAUCAAGUAUCCAUUUAUUCAUGUGAAGCCUCUUCACUCCUUGCAAUCAAUGUUCUUAUCUGGUGAUUCUCUAGAAGAUACUAACGGAGUUUCAAGUUCAUCAUUCUUCAUUCUUUUCUUCUCCGGUGGAUUCAAUUCAAGCUUUCGGUUUUCAUCAUAUUCCUUUCCUUGUUUCUAA
RNAcentral lists this ribosomal RNA (345 nucleotides) under Triticum aestivum (bread wheat). Its description in RNAcentral is "partial small subunit ribosomal RNA". The record is from RNAcentral. Lineage: Eukaryota; Viridiplantae; Streptophyta; Magnoliopsida; Poales; Poaceae.